Molecule: ribosomal RNA, 361 nt
Filed under: uncultured bacterium
Lineage: Bacteria
Description: partial 16S ribosomal RNA
Rfam family: Bacterial small subunit ribosomal RNA
Source: RNAcentral
CCUACGGGAGGCUGCAGUGAGGAAUAUUGGUCAAUGGACGCAAGUCUGAACCAGCCAUGCCGCGUGCAGGAAGACGGCCCUAUGAGUUGUAAACUGCUUUUGUACGAAGGAAAACGCAGAUGCGCGUAUCUGUCUGAAAGUAUCGUACGAAUAAGGAUAGGCUCACUCCGGUCCAGCAGCCGCGGUAAUACAGAGGGUUCAAGCGUUAUCCGGAUUUAUUGGGUUUAAAGGGUGAGUAGGCGGUCGGGUAAGAUAGAGGUGAAAUCCCGAGGCUCAACCUCGGAAUUGCCUCUGAUACUGUUAGGCUAGAGAGUAGUUGAGGUAGGCGGAAUGUAUGGUGUAGCGGUGAAAUGCUUAGAGA